RNAcentral lists this microRNA precursor (120 nucleotides) under Paramuricea clavata. Lineage: Eukaryota; Metazoa; Cnidaria; Anthozoa; Malacalcyonacea; Plexauridae. The record is from RNAcentral.
AAGGUUGUUCCAACAAGUCCGAUACAGUCACGGUAUAACAAUAUUGUUACAAUCUUGUGUCGUCAGCCUUGGAACAUUCUUGUUAUAUCAUGGCUGUAUCAGACUUCGUAGAACAACCUU